Long non-coding RNA from Nasonia vitripennis (jewel wasp), 2065 nucleotides. RefSeq lists it as uncharacterized. Lineage: Eukaryota; Metazoa; Arthropoda; Insecta; Hymenoptera; Pteromalidae. The record is from RefSeq and is a predicted model, not a curated record. The transcript is spliced from 3 exons.
GUUCUACUCGAGCUCCACUCCAGGUAGCAUCGUGCGCACACGUUACAACAGGGAACAGCGAGAGAUAGAUCUGCGCCGACGAAGUCGUCUCGUGAGCACGCGUGACGAUUUGGUAGACGAACCGAAACCCGUAUCUCCGAACCCCGAAACUCCGAAUUGCCGUCGUGAGUACACGAGGCAACCCGGAACACCCGAGCGACAUCGAGUCUCGUCUACGCCACCGUAAAAAUCCUAACCAACAAAGCCAGCCUUACGCCAACAUCUCACGACUCGCUCUAUCUCUGUGCGCACACAGGAUAAAGAGAGGAACGAGACGAGCGACGAAGAUUUGUGAAGCCGUGCGCACACGACUCCACCGUACCGAAUGAAAUCCUAACCUUCAAACCCAUCACCAAUCCGCCAUACCGUCACCGUACCGAAACACCGUAGCCGUAACCACCGACUCAUUGUUAUAGCGAAGUCGCGUAGAUAUAUUCAUAAAUUGUUAACAGCCCUAGUUUAAACAAUUCCAUUUGUAAAGGCGAAAUAUUCUUAAUCAAGCGCAUAAAGUUAUUUGCUAAAUGAACAAUUGUUUUAUUUAAUUAUGUGUUUUUUUAAAAAAAGGUUAAGCUAAUUAAAUAUUUCUAUCAGUUGAUUUUGACAAUAUUUCAAGGUCCAUCAUUUCAUUUAAAUUCAUGUUUUUUAAGACAUCUUUUCUUACAAAAUACUUAUGACGAAUAUCACAACUGAACAUUUUUACAUUAGAAUGUAUAUAUUGAUCUAUUAUGGUUUUGUAAACGUAUUUUUUGAUGAAAUUUUUUAUUACAAUAACUACCCUGAUGAAAAUUUCUGCCUGGUUAUCUGAUAUUUUCAUCAGGGAACGUAUUGUGGAAAAAUGAAUAUUUGAAAAAGUCAUUUUUUUCACAAACUAUCAACUCUAUCAAAAAAAUGAUAGAGGCACUUUUAAAUGUAAAUACCUCAAACACUCUGUUGAUGCUCCCAUAAUUUAUUUAUCCCUUAAAUUGAAAAAGUUGAAAAUGGCUGCCAAUUGCCGAUACAUGAAGUUUUUUACAAUAUUAUCACAGUUUAGAGUGUGCCACUUAAUUCUUUGUGUCAUUUGGAUCAAAAAAUAUCUCUAUCAGUUUUAGUCCAGAGUCAGUCGCUUUUAAGAAAACAUGCAUUAUGUUGAUGCAUAAAUAAUUUAAAAAAUUAUUUUUCUCGAAAUCUAUCAUUUUUUUGAUAGAGUUGAUAGUUUGUGAAAAAAAUGACUUUCAAAUAUUCAUUUUUUCACACUUUCACUACUUUUAUACAACUGUAUUAAAUUUUCGAUAAAAUAAAAAAUAAUUAUGAAAAUCUAGUUUGAUUAAGCAGCAAUAAACUUGAUACAAUAAUGUAUAAUAAUAGUAAAUAUUUAUCUUCGUAAAUCCUUAUUUGCAGUUUCCAUUGCUGUUAAUAUUAUAUAAUAACUGAACAUUCAAAUCAAACACUAUUUCGCUGGGAAAGCAAUUUCCUGCGCUGUUUUCAUGCGCACGCGCACAUGAACCUAACCUUUGUCACAGCAGAACUAGCAGAAGGUUAAAACUGGUUUUUCAUUCGUUUCGCGCGUAUCGGUCUCGAUAACUUUUUUAUUAAAAUCAAAAGUGCAAUUGGUAUAUUUUGUUAAAUACGUGCGAUAAUAAAUGUAUCGGGAAUAUAAAGAAAAUGUGUAUCGUGCAGUAAUUGUACUUUAGAUUUCAUAAAAUACUGCAAGAGUUGACUAGUGACAAGACAAGGAUGUACAGCUGUAUCAUAUUGGCAUUAAUUGUUGCAGAUCUUAAUCAUUGUAUUUUGAACAUGGAAUCAUAUUAGUAGCGGUAGCUUCGUAUUACACUAAAAGAACUUGUUCAUACGCUUAACUUCAAGUAAAUACCAGGAUAGCACGAUCAGAUUUUCUAUUAAGGAAACUAGUGAUAACUGAUUACAUAGAUUUUGUAUAAUUUGUGAUACAUUUUUUUUUUACAACUUAUCGAUUUCUUCUAUAACUUUUAUAAGCGAAUGAUUGUAAUUAUCAUUGAAUAAAGUUUUGAAAAAAACUAAUAAUUUCUUA